This 282-nucleotide long non-coding RNA is filed under the name Gossypium barbadense (sea-island cotton). Its description in RNAcentral is "long non-coding RNA (GBAR_LNC016469)". The record is from RNAcentral. Lineage: Eukaryota; Viridiplantae; Streptophyta; Magnoliopsida; Malvales; Malvaceae.
AAAAAGUGAUUUUCAAGGAAAACUCUUUAAGGCACCGAAAAAAAACGAAAGAAACUUAAAAGACAAAUAAACAGAAAAAAAUUACAAGAAAACAAUGCAUACAAGGUGUUUAAAUAAAUGCUCUUAAAUAUAUAUUUUUUGACUAAAGAAUAAGGUAAUUACAAAUGAGGAGAAAAUCUCUAUUUAUAUUUGAGUUUCUUAAAUUCAAUAAGAAUAAGGUAAUUACAAAUGAGGAGAAAAUCUCUAUUUAUAUUUGAGUUUCUUAAAUUCAAGAGUACAAUU